GAGUUUACAACUCCCAAACCCCUGUGAACAUACCAUAACGUUGCUUCSGCGGAUCAGCCCCUCGCCUCGCCGCGAGGGCCCGCCAGAGGACCCUUAAACCCCAAACUUUUGUUUUUUUGCCUUGCAAACCCAAUUCUGAGUGGAUUUUUACAAAUCAAAAUUAAAACUUUCAACAACGGAUCUCUUGGCUCUGGCAUCGAUGAAGAACGCAGCGAAAUGCGAUAAGUAAUGUGAAUUGCAGAAUUCAGUGAAUCAUCGAAUAUUUGAACGCACAUUGCGCCCGCCAGUAUUCUGGCGGGCAUGCCUGUUCGAGCGUCAUUAACACCCCUCAAGCCCCCGGGCUUGGUGUUGGGGAUCGGGAACAGCGGAACGGGGGGGGAAAUCCCCCCGGGAAGCCCCCGUCCCCCAAAUGCAUCGGCGGUCACGCCACGGCCUCUUGCGCGUAGUAGCCAAUACCUCGCGCCGGAGCCCGUCGUGGUCCACGCCGUAAAACUCCCGACUUUCCAAAGUUGACCUCGAAUCAGGUAGGACUACCCGCUGAACUUAAGCAUAUCAAUAAGCGGAGGAAAAGAAACCAACAGGGAUUGCCCUAGUAACGGCGAGUGAAGCGGCAACAGCUCAAAUUUGAAAUCUGGCCCUCGGGCCCGAGUUGUAAUUUGUAGAGGAUGCUUUUGGCGCGGUGCCUUCCGAGUUCCCUGGAACGGGACGCCAUAGAGGGUGAGAGCCCCGUCUGGUCGGCCACCAAGCCUCUGUAAAGCUCCUUCGACGAGUCGAGUAGUUUGGGAAUGCUGCUCUAAAUGGGAGGUAUAUGUCUUCUAAAGCUAAAUACCGGCCAGAGACCGAUAGCGCACAAGUAGAGUGAUCGAAAGAUGAAAAGCACUUUGAAAAGAGAGUUAAACAGUACGUGAAAUUGUUGAAAGGGAAGCGCUCAUGACCAGACUUGGGCCCGUCGGAUCAGCCCGGGUUCUCCCGGGUGCACUCCUUCGGGCUCAGGCCAGCAUCAGUUCGGCGCGGGGGGCAAAGGCUUCGGGAAUGUGGCUCCCCCCGGGGAGUGUUAUAGCCCGCUGCGUAAUACCCUGCGCCGGACU
RNAcentral lists this ribosomal RNA (1088 nucleotides) under fungal sp. RNAcentral's name for it is "eukaryotic LSU rRNA". The record is from RNAcentral. Lineage: Eukaryota; Fungi.